RNAcentral lists this unclassified non-coding RNA (385 nucleotides) under soil metagenome. RNAcentral's name for it is "partial contains 5.8S ribosomal RNA, internal transcribed spacer 2, and large subunit ribosomal RNA". The stretch from base 1 to 120 matches the Rfam family "5.8S ribosomal RNA", at positions 35 to 154 of the family's 154-position model. The record is from RNAcentral.
GAUGAAGAACGUAGUGAAAUGCGAUACGUAAUGUGAAUUGCAGAAUUUCUGAAUCAUCGAAUCUUUGAACGCACCUUGCGCUCUGUGGUUAUUCCGCAGAGCAUGUUUGUUUGAGUGUCGCGAUACUUCUCAACCCCGCUUCAUUAACUUGAAGUAGUUUGGGCUUGGAUCAUGGUCGUUGCCGGCAUUAGCCAGGCUCGAUUGAAAUACAACAAGCUGGAUGAUGCUAUUAGCGGCUUGAACCUAACGUUGUAAUUACUUAUUCGUUAGGCUACGCUUUCAGUGUUCAAUGAGCUUACCAAUUGAUUAAGAACUUUACUGUUCAAUUUGACCUCAAAUCAAGCAGGACUACCCGCUGAACUUAAGCAUAUCAAUAAGCGGAGGA